This 826-nucleotide ribosomal RNA is filed under the name uncultured crenarchaeote. RNAcentral describes it as "bacterial SSU rRNA". It matches the Rfam family "Archaeal small subunit ribosomal RNA", at positions 95 to 922 of the family's 1478-position model. Lineage: Archaea; Thermoproteati; Thermoproteota. The record is from RNAcentral.
AACGCGUAGUCAACCUACCCUAUGGACGGGAAUAACCUCGGGAAACUGAGAAUAAUGCCCGAUAGAACAUUAUGCCUGGAAUGGUUUAUGUUCCAAAUGAUUUAUCGCCGUAGGAUGGGACUGCGGCCUAUCAGUUUGCUGGUGAGGUAAUGGCCCACCAAGACUAUUACAGGUACGGGCUCUGAGAGGAGUAGCCCGGAGAUGGGUACUGAGACACGGACCCAGGCCCUAUGGGGCGCAGCAGGCGAGAAAACUUUGCAAUGUGCGAAAGCACGACAAGGUUAAUCCGAGUGGUUUCUGCUAAAGGAACCUUUUGACAGUCCUAGAAACACUGUUGAAUAAGGGGUGGGCAAGUUCUGGUGUCAGCCGCCGCGGUAAAACCAGCACCUCAAGUGGUCAGGAUGAUUAUUGGGCCUAAAGCAUCCGUAGCCGGCUCUGUAAGUUUUCGGUUAAAUCUAUACGCUCAACGUAUAGGCUGCCGGGAAUACUGCAGAGCUAGGGAGUGGGAGAGGUAGACGGUACUCGGUAGGAAGGGGUAAAAUCCUUUGAUCUAUUGAUGACCACCUGUGGCGAAGGCGGUCUACCAGAACACGUCCGACGGCGAGGGAUGAAAGCUGGGGGAGCAAACCGGAUUAGAUACCCGGGUAGUCCCAGCUGUAAACUAUGCAAACUCAGUGAUGCAUUGGCUUAUGGCCAAUGCAGUGCUGCAGGGAAGCCGUUAAGUUUGCCGCCUGGGAAGUACGUACGCAAGUAUGAAACUUAAAGGAAUUGGCGGGGGAGCACCACAAGGGGUGAAGCCUGCGGUUCAAUUGGAGUCAACGCCGGG